Molecule: ribosomal RNA, 253 nt
Filed under: uncultured bacterium
Lineage: Bacteria
Description: partial 16S ribosomal RNA
Rfam family: Bacterial small subunit ribosomal RNA
Source: RNAcentral
UACGGGGGUGGCAAGCGUUGUUCGGAAUUACUGGGCGUAAAGGGCGCGUAGGCGGGGAGGUAAGUCGGGUGUGAAAUCCCUCGGCUCAACCGAGGAACUGCGCCCGAGACUGCCUUUCUUGAGUCCCGGAGAGGAAGGUGGAAUUCCCGGUGUAGCGGUGAAAUGCGUAGAUAUCAGGAGGAAUACCUGUGGUGUAGACGGCUCUCUGGACCGCGACUGACGCUGAGACACGAAAGCGUGGGUAGCAAACAGG